AUUACCACAGAUGUAUGUAUGACUUAUAUUUCCUGCUAGGAUCAAUAGAAUAAUUAUGAGGCAUUGAUGCAUUAUUACCUAGGACUGAUGUCUGUAUUCCUCCUAACCAGCGUAGAUUGAAAUAAAUAUCAUUUAUAUAACACUUCACUACAAAACUGCUACUCAUGUCACUAAUCUAAAUAUCAAUAUACACUGACUAUACCAAACAUGAGGAACACCUUCAGUUGCCCCCCCCACCCCCACCCACGCUCAAAAUGCUGGCCCAUGUUGAGCGUGGAAAACCCAGCAGCAUUGCAGUUCUUGACACAAACCGGUGUGCCUGGCACCUACUACAUUACCCCGUUCAAAAGCACUUAUUUUGUCUCGCCCAUUCACCGUCUGAAUGGCACACAUACCCAAUCCACGUCUCAAUUGUCUCGAGGCUUAAACAUCUUUCUCUAACCUGUCUCCUCCCCUUCAUCUACACUGACUGAAGUGGAUUUAACAAGUGACAUCAAUACGGGAUCCUAACUUUUCACCUGGAAUCACCUGUUCAGUCUAUGUCAUGGAGAGAGCAGGUGUCCUUAAUGUUUGUACAGUCAGUGUAUAUUCUACCUCUGCCAUGUAACUGGAAGGACUGGUUUUAAAAGUGUGGACACAGAGGUCUGUCAGGUCUGUCAGGACACAGAGGUCUGUCAGGUCUGUCAGGACACAGAGGUCUGUCAGGUCUGUCAGGACACAGAGGUCUGUCAGGUCUGUCAGGACACAGAGGUCUGUCAGGUCUGUCAGGACACAGAGGUCUGUCAGGACACAGAGGUCUGUCAGGUCUGUCAGGACACAGAGGUCUGUCAGGUCUGUCAGGACACAGAGGUCUGUCAGGUCUGUCAGGACACAGAGGUCUGUCAGGUCUGUCAGGACACAGAGGUCUGUCAGGUCUGUCAGGACACAGAGGUCUGUCAGGUCUGUCAGGACACAGAGGUCUGUCAGGUCUGUCAGGACACAGAGGUCUGUCAGGUCUGUCAGGACACAGAGGUCUGUCAGGUCUGUCAGGACACAGAGGUCUGUCAGGUCUGUCAGGACACAGAGGUCUGUCAGGUCUGUCAGGACACAGAGGUCUGUCAGGUCUGUCAGGACACAGAGGUCUGUCAGGUCUGUCAGGACACAGAGGUCUGUCAGGUCUGUCAGGACACAGAGGUUAGAGCAGUGUCACCACACUCAACGCUCUAGACCGGUGGCAUUCCAACUUUUUCAGCGGGGACCCCAUUUUUUUUUGCCAGAAUUUCUGGGGACCCUGAUUAUUUUGUUCUCGCGACCCCACCGCUCUAAUGGCGCAACCUUAGUUUGUUACGUUUCUAUUUUUACUUUAACAAAGGGCCAUCAAUUCAUGACAUUUUGAUUUCUCUUCAAAAUGAAAAGAAUCCAUUAACUACAUUUACUCAAUAAAAUUGUAUUUUUCAAAUUAUCUUUCUCGAAACUUAUAUACUGUAUGUAUGAUAUCUAAUGUACUCCUAUGUUUAUGGUGUAGUGCAUUUGAUCGGAUGAAUUCUACUGUGUAAGUGUAUACUUGGUGUAUUCAUAUGCGCGUAUGUGUGUACCUGCGUCUAUACGUGUGUGUGUGUGUGUGUGUGUGUGUGUGUGUGUGUGUGUGUGUGUGUGUGUGUGUGUGUGUGUGUGUGUGUGUGUGUGUGUGUGUGUGUGUGUGUGUGUGUGUGUGUGUGUGUGUGUGUGUGUGCAUUUGCAAGUAUGUCAGGGUACAAUGCAGAUUUUUAACUGUGCAUUUAAU
Molecule: long non-coding RNA, 1762 nt
Organism: Oncorhynchus keta (chum salmon)
Lineage: Eukaryota; Metazoa; Chordata; Actinopteri; Salmoniformes; Salmonidae
Exons: 6
Source: RefSeq, a predicted model, not a curated record